RNAcentral lists this ribosomal RNA (354 nucleotides) under uncultured Leptolinea sp. RNAcentral's name for it is "bacterial SSU rRNA". It matches the Rfam family "Bacterial small subunit ribosomal RNA", at positions 1014 to 1382 of the family's 1533-position model. Lineage: Bacteria; Bacillati; Chloroflexota; Anaerolineae; Anaerolineales; Anaerolineaceae. The record is from RNAcentral.
GGACGACCUCGGGAGCUUAUACAGGUGUUGCAUGGCUGUCGUCAGCUCGUGUCGUGAGAUGUUCGGUUAAGUCCGCUAACGAGCGCAACCCUCGCUGUGUGUUAUAUGUGUCACACGGGACUGCCGGUCUUAAGCCGGAGGAAGGUGGGGAUGAUGUCAAGUCAGCAUGGCCUUUAUAUCCUGGGCUACACACACGCUACAAUGGCCAGCACAGUAGGUUGCUAAGCCGCGAGGUGGAGCCAAUCCAUAAAGCUGGUCUCAGUUCAGAUUGCAGGCUGCAACCCGCCUGCAUGAAGAUGGAGUUGCUAGUAACCGCAGGUCAGCUAUACUGCGGUGAAUACGUUCCCGGGGCUU